RNAcentral lists this long non-coding RNA (405 nucleotides) under Mytilus galloprovincialis (Mediterranean mussel). The record is from RNAcentral. Lineage: Eukaryota; Metazoa; Mollusca; Bivalvia; Mytilida; Mytilidae.
CCCCCCAUCAGUUAAACAUCGUAGGCAUAAAAUCCAUGUCCUAGAGUGUAGGGCCUCAAAAUAGGCGUCAAAUUGAUAUGUUCUGAUAGUAAUGCAACUUUUUAUUAAUAUCAUUAAUCUAUCACAAGUAAUUCCUAUCAAAUUAUCUUUAAAAGCAGAAAACUUAGUAACUGUUGAUGCAGAAGCCACACAAAAUCAAUCCCUAUGUCUCACUUUCCAUGACUUUCCUCACAGAUGAGACAUAUUCCUUAUCAUUAAGUACAUUUGUACCACCACAUUAAAUGUGCAGUUAAGUUGGAAAGGAAUUCAUUUCUUUUACAUUAAAUUGCCCAAAUUACAUGUAUAUAAAUAAUUAUAGCAUUUAAUGAGGAAAAACCUUUCUGUGUAAUGGGUGGUUGGGGUCUU